RNAcentral lists this ribosomal RNA (481 nucleotides) under uncultured bacterium. RNAcentral describes it as "bacterial SSU rRNA". It matches the Rfam family "Bacterial small subunit ribosomal RNA", at positions 15 to 507 of the family's 1533-position model. The record is from RNAcentral.
GAUCAUGGCUCAGGAUGAACGCUAGCGGCAGGCUUAAUACAUGCAAGUCAAGGGGGUAGCAAUACAACCGGCGCACGGGUGAGUAACGCGUACACAACAUACCAUAUACUGGAGUAUAGCUUUGGGAAACUGAAGGUAAUCCUCCAUAACAUUGCGAGAGGGCAUCUGAUUGCAAUUAAAGUUUCGGCGGUAUAUGAUUGGUGUGCGUUUGAUUAGCUAGUUGGUAGGGUAACGGCCUACCAAGGCGACGAUCAAUAGCUGGCGUGAGAGCGCGACCAGCCACACUGGAACUGAGACACGGUCCAGACUCCUACGGGAGGCAGCAGUAGGGAAUAUUGGACAAUGGAGGAAACUCUGAUCCAGCCAUGCCGCGUGAUAGAUGAAGGCCCUCUGGGUUGUAAAUAUCUUUUAUCUGGGAAGAAACACUCCUAUUCUUAGGAACUUGACGGUACCAGAGGAAUAAGCACCGGCUAACUCCGUG